AGUUCAUGGUGUGGCCAUUUUUGAAUCAUUAUUUUAAAGCACUCCCAAGCUUCAUGGAAACUUUCUCCUUCAAGUUGCUUAAACAUAGCAAUCUCUCUCCUUAGUU
Small nucleolar RNA from Gossypium raimondii (Peruvian cotton), 106 nucleotides. It matches the Rfam family "Plant small nucleolar RNA R71". From Rfam's summary of the family: R71 is a member of the C/D box family of snoRNAs containing the C (UGAUGA) and D (CUGA) box motifs. Multiple nearly identical copies of this snoRNA have been identified in Arabidopsis, and it is thought to function as a 2'-O-ribose methylation guide for 18S ribosomal RNA. The record is from Rfam. Lineage: Eukaryota; Viridiplantae; Streptophyta; Magnoliopsida; Malvales; Malvaceae.